UGUGCAGACGGUUUGCUAAGUCACUUGUUAAAUUCUUCGGCCUAACUGAAGGUAUGCAGGUGAUACUGGCGAUCUAGAGGGUGGAAGAGAGAAGUGGAAUUCUCGGAGUAGCGGUAAAAUGCGUAGAUCUCGAGAGGAACACCAAUGGCGAAGGCAGCUUCUUGGUCCAUUCCUGACGUUCAUACACGAAAGCGUGGGAGCAAACA
This 206-nucleotide ribosomal RNA is filed under the name uncultured bacterium. RNAcentral describes it as "partial 16S ribosomal RNA". It matches the Rfam family "Bacterial small subunit ribosomal RNA", at positions 568 to 774 of the family's 1533-position model. The record is from RNAcentral.